CCUACGAGAGGCAGCCGUGAGGAAUAUUGGUCAAUGGGCGCGAGCCUGAACCAGCCACGUAGCGUGAAGGAUGAAUGCCCUACGGGUUGUAACCUUCUUUUAUAAAGGACUGAAGUGAGGCACGUGUGCCUUUUUGUCUGUACUUUAUGAAUAAGGAUCGGCUAACUACGUGCCAGCAGCCGCGGUAAUACGGAGGGUCCGAGCGUUCUCCGGAUUUAUUGGGUUUAAGGGGAGCGUAGAUGGGUGGUUAAGUCAGUUGUGAAAGUUUGCGGCUCAACCGUAAAAUUGCAAUUGAUACUGGCAGUCUUGAGUACAGUUGAGGUAGGCGGAAUUCGUGGUGUAGCGGUGAAAUGCUUAGAUAUCACGAAGAACCCCGAUUGCGAAGGCAGCUUACUAAACUGUGACUGACAUUGAUGCUCGAAAGUGUGGGUAUCAAACAGGAUUAGAUACCCGGGUAGUC
RNAcentral lists this ribosomal RNA (460 nucleotides) under uncultured bacterium. Its description in RNAcentral is "partial 16S ribosomal RNA". It matches the Rfam family "Bacterial small subunit ribosomal RNA", at positions 338 to 795 of the family's 1533-position model. The record is from RNAcentral.